UACGGGGGGGGCAAGCGUUGUUCGGAAUUACUGGGCGUAAAGGGCGCGUAGGUGGCCAACUAAGUCAGACGUGAAAUCCCUCGGCUUAACCGGGGAACUGCGUCUGAUACUGGAUGGCUUGAGUUCGGGAGAGGGAUGCGGAAUUCCAGGUGUAGCGGUGAAAUGCGUAGAUAUCUGGAGGAACACCGGUGGCGAAGGCGGCAUCCUGGACCGACACUGACACUGAGGAGCGAAAGCCAGGGGAGCAAACGGG
Molecule: ribosomal RNA, 253 nt
Filed under: uncultured bacterium
Lineage: Bacteria
Description: partial 16S ribosomal RNA
Rfam family: Bacterial small subunit ribosomal RNA
Source: RNAcentral